This 506-nucleotide ribosomal RNA is filed under the name uncultured bacterium. RNAcentral describes it as "partial 16S ribosomal RNA". It matches the Rfam family "Bacterial small subunit ribosomal RNA", at positions 29 to 523 of the family's 1533-position model. The record is from RNAcentral.
AAUGAACGCUGGCGGUAGGCCUAACACAUGCAAGUCGAACGGCAGCACAGGAGAGCUUGCUCUCUGGGUGGCGAGUGGCGGACGGGUUAGGAAUACAUCGGAAUCUACUUUUUCGUGGGGGAUAACGUAGGGAAACUUACGCUAAUACCGCAUACGACCUACGGGUGAAAGCAGGGGACCAUCGGGCCUUGCGCGAGUGGAUGGGCCGAUGUCGGAUUAGCUAGUUGGCGGGGUAAAGGCGCACCAAGGCGACGAUCCGUAGCUGUUCUGAGAGGAUGAUCAGCCACACUGGAACUGAGACACGGUCCAGACUCCUACGGGAGGCAGCAGUGGGGAAUAUUGGACAAUGGGCGCAAGCCUGAUCCAGCCAUACCGCGUGGGUGAAGAAGGCCUUCGGGUUGUAAAGCCCUUUUGUUGGGAAAGAAAUCCAGCUGGCUAAUACCCGGUUGGGAUGACGGUACCCAAAGAAUAAGCACCGGCUAACUUCGUGCCAGCCGCCGCGGUAA